UGCAGUAGAGGAGUUGGGGGGCAGAAGGACGGUAAGUAUGUCGAUAUAGGCCACUGCGGUGGGAGGGUGCUUUGGGCGAGGGGCUGAGAGGGAGCGGUGGGAGGAGCUGGGAGGGUGCUUUGGGCGAGGGGGGCGGAGCGGUAGGUUGUGGCGAGAGAAACGGGAUGGGAGGGUAGAACGGGGGAGCGGGGCGAGCGGUAGGGACGAGCCAUUCUGUGCAA
This 221-nucleotide long non-coding RNA is filed under the name Ananas comosus (pineapple). Its description in RNAcentral is "long non-coding RNA (ACOM_LNC017125)". Lineage: Eukaryota; Viridiplantae; Streptophyta; Magnoliopsida; Poales; Bromeliaceae. The record is from RNAcentral.